Non-coding RNA from Acanthosepion pharaonis, 97 nucleotides. The record is from the annotation of a GenBank genome assembly. NCBI's taxonomy places the organism in Eukaryota, Metazoa, Mollusca, Cephalopoda, Sepiida, Sepiidae.
UGAAACAGCAGUUCACGUAAGAUCAACGAAGUUAAGCAACGUCGAACUUGUUCAGUACCUAGAUGGAUAACCUCUUGGGAAUUCCAGGUGCUGUAAG